AAAGGCGUGACGGUGAGCGCAGAGCCUGCCAACCGCCACGAAAACUACAGCGCCCGGAAGGGCGGUUCGUUGAAGGCAGCGGCAGGGCCUCGAUCCACCUCCGUCGCCCGGAAACCCGCCGGGGCCCAGGGUCGCGCCCCAUAGCCCCCCUCUUCGUGGCCGGAGACUCUGCUAAGAAAAUGACGUGUCAAAGAUACUGAUACACGUCUUACUGGUCACAGGGAAGUAUCCGGCAUGGAGAGGUAACCGCCUGAAGGUUGGCUACCCUGGAUGAUUAACAGCUGGCAAAAACUUUAUGACGCAUUGUGUCGCCCAGAUUUUUAGAGAAAGAUACACACACAGAGAUCAAUGUAGUUUUCAGUGAAGUGUGUUCUUGCACGGCGGGGAAAGGAACGUGUGCCACGGUCGGUCUUAACUUCGCACAGAACAAAGCCGAAUUUCUCAGUGAUUUCGCAGCGACCGCAAACACGCUGGUAGUUGACAGUCAGCAGACGUCAGGCUCCGUAGAGAGACCAUCUCACCAAGGCCCUUCCGUAGAGAGCAGAACAGGCCCCCGCGCUUGCAUUGCUGCGGAAGGCAGCCAGAGGCACAAGGGGACCCGGGGAGCCCGUUGUUCAUUCUGAUCUGAUAAAAGACAUCCUGGGGAACCUGGCCCAGGUUUUCUUACUUAAGUAUAGCCAGCACGUACCUUCCUCGUCUGGCCUCUCGCGAUCUGCCCAUUACUUAAGUCAAUAAGCCGUUGGCUAUUUCAAGAUUGGUUUAUUCACGUUGUAAGUUGCCAAGAACUAGGAAAACUGGGCAGACUCUCCAGUCUGCUCGGCAGUUCACCACUGUGAUGGAGACCGCAGCACGGCAGAAGCCAGGGGCUUCUCUUUACCGAGUCAGCUGCUCCUUCUCUGGGACCUCACGAAGCACCGAGUGACAGCUACCCGGCCUCGUCAAUGGCAAGAUAAUCAAGAGAGAAUUACCGCUUGGCAAAUAAAGGCCACUUUCCUAAACAGAAUCCACCAAAUCAGGGAAUGGGGAAGGGGGACAGUGAAAAAGAUCCGGCAAAGGGAUCCUUUGCGGUGACAGAUGCCAGCCGCUAACUGCAGGGGACGAGGAAUGCCCUUGUGCUGGACAUGUAGCUUCUCACAGAGCAGUGUGAGUGUGAUUGAUUCUUCAUACGCACUUGCUGAAUAAAUAAAUUUUCAAAAAUCUCA
Long non-coding RNA from Prionailurus viverrinus (fishing cat), 1202 nucleotides. RefSeq lists it as uncharacterized. The transcript is spliced from 2 exons. Lineage: Eukaryota; Metazoa; Chordata; Mammalia; Carnivora; Felidae. The record is from RefSeq and is a predicted model, not a curated record.